GACGAACGCUGGCGGCGUGCUUAACACAUGCAAGUCGAACGGUAAGGCCCUUCGGGGUACACGAGUGGCGAACGGGUGAGUAACACGUGGGUGAUCUGCCCUGCACUUCGGGAUAAGCCUGGGAAACUGGGUCUAAUACCGGAUAGGACUCCUGGCUUCAUGGUUGGGGGUGGAAAGCUUUUGCGGUGGGGGAUGGGCCCGCGGCCUAUCAGCUUGUUGGUGGGGUAAUGGCCUACCAAGGCGACGGCGGGUAGCCGGCCUGAGAGGGUGACCGGUCACACUGGGACUGAGAUACGGCCCAGACUCCUACGGGAGGCAGCAGUGGGGAAUAUUGCACAAUGGGCGCAAGCCUGAUGCAGCGACGCCGCGUGAGGGAUGACGGCCUUCGGGUUGUAAACCUCUUUCAGCUAUGACGAAGCGCAAGUGACGGUAGUAGCAGAAGAAGGACCGGCCAACUACGUGCCAGCCGCCGCAGUAA
This 478-nucleotide ribosomal RNA is filed under the name uncultured bacterium. RNAcentral's name for it is "partial 16S ribosomal RNA". It matches the Rfam family "Bacterial small subunit ribosomal RNA", at positions 28 to 523 of the family's 1533-position model. The record is from RNAcentral.